CGGGCUGCUGCAGUUCUCUUCCGAUGGCUGUUGCUUUGGACGGUUAGAUCUCGUGUUGCGUCGACGCGUAACACGUGCUCACAAUGGUGAACGGAAGAAUUCCGUCAGUCUUUUCAAAGACUUACGUAACUCCGAGAAGGCCUUACGAGAAGGCUCGUCUUGAUCAGGAGUUGAAAAUCAUCGGAGAAUAUGGACUCCGUAACAAACGAGAAGUUUGGCGUGUCAAAUACACUUUGGCCAAAAUUCGUAAAGCUGCUCGUGAGCUGCUUACGCUCGAAGAGAAAGAUCCCAAGCGACUUUUUGAAGGUAAUGCAUUGCUGCGUCGUUUGGUAAGAAUCGGUGUUUUGGAUGAAGGACGUAUGAAACUUGAUUACGUCCUUGGUUUGAAAAUUGAAGAUUUUCUUGAAAGACGUCUUCAGACCCAAGUGUUCAAACUGGGAUUAGCCAAGUCCAUCCAUCACGCCCGUGUAUUGAUUCGGCAAAGACAUAUUCGAUACAGAUCCGAAAACAGCUGAAAUCUGGUUAAUGCUUGAUGCACCUGGGAUUUUAGAUCAUGUUAUAUUUUUAGCAGGCCACUUGGUUGUUAAAGUAAUUUAACAAUCAACGUCUGAUGAUUAGACAGCACUGGAAUAAUAAUCUAAAUUCGAUUUGCUGCUCUAUUGUGUGCGCAAACAAGUCGUGAACAUCCCGUCGUUCAUUGUACGCCUGGACUCUCAAAAGCAUAUCGACUUCUCGUUGAAAUCACCAUUUGGUGGUGGCCGCCCUGGUCGUGUAAAGAGGAAGAACCUGCGCAAAGGAAGCAGUGGUGAUACCCAAGAGCCCGAAGAUGAUUAGACAGUGUAUAACUUGACACAUCUUAAAUAAACAAAAAAAUUCAAUUA
RNA transcript from Neodiprion virginianus, 881 nucleotides. It is a transcript of the gene named 40S ribosomal protein S9, with no coding region annotated. NCBI's taxonomy places the organism in Eukaryota, Metazoa, Arthropoda, Insecta, Hymenoptera, Diprionidae. The record is from RefSeq and is a predicted model, not a curated record. The transcript is spliced from 6 exons.